GACGAACGCUGGCGGCGUGCCUAAUACAUGCAAGUAGAACGCUGAAGAGAGGAGCUUGCUCUUCUUGGCUGAGUUGCGAACGGGUGAGUAACGCGUAGGUAACCUGCCUUGUAGCGGGGGAUAACUAUUGGAAACGAUAGCUAAUACCGCAUAACAAUGGAUGACGCAUGUCAUUUAUUUGAAAGGGGCAAUUGCUCCACUACAAGAUGGACCUGCGUUGUAUUAGCUAGUAGGUGAGGUAAUGGCUCACCUAGGCGACGAUACAUAGCCGACCUGAGAGGGUGAUCGGCCACACUGGGACUGAGACACGGCCCAGACUCCUACGGGAGGCAGCAGUAGGGAAUCUUCGGCAAUGGGGGCAACCCUGACCGAGCAACGCCGCGUGAGCGAAGAAGGUUUUCGGAUCGUAAAGCUCUGUUGUAAGUCAAGAACGGGUGUGAGAGUGGAAAGUUCACACUGUGACGGUAGCUUACCAGAAAGGGACGGCUAACUACGUG
Molecule: ribosomal RNA, 497 nt
Filed under: uncultured bacterium
Lineage: Bacteria
Description: partial 16S ribosomal RNA
Rfam family: Bacterial small subunit ribosomal RNA
Source: RNAcentral